RNAcentral lists this small nuclear RNA (23 nucleotides) under Arabidopsis thaliana (thale cress). RNAcentral describes it as "snRNA_05412". Lineage: Eukaryota; Viridiplantae; Streptophyta; Magnoliopsida; Brassicales; Brassicaceae. The record is from RNAcentral.
AGUGACGCUUGAGACGAAACUAA